UACGUAGGGAGCGAGCGUUGUCCGGAAUUACUGGGUGUAAAGGGAGCGUAGGCGGGAUGGUAAGUAAAAUGUUAAAACGAUCGGCUUAACCGGUCAGUGCGUUUUAAACUGCCGUUCUUGAGUGAAGUAGAGGCAGGCGGAAUUCCUAGUGUAGCGGUGAAAUGCGCAGAUAUUAGGAGGAACACCAGUGGCGAAGGCGGCCUGCUGGGCUUUAACUGACGCUGAGGCUCGAAAGCGUGGGGAGCAAA
This 248-nucleotide ribosomal RNA is filed under the name uncultured Anaerotruncus sp. Its description in RNAcentral is "partial 16S ribosomal RNA". It matches the Rfam family "Bacterial small subunit ribosomal RNA", at positions 524 to 772 of the family's 1533-position model. Lineage: Bacteria; Bacillati; Bacillota; Clostridia; Eubacteriales; Oscillospiraceae. The record is from RNAcentral.